AGAGUUUGAUCCUGGCUCAGGAUAAACGCUGGCGGCGUGCCUAACACAUGCAAGUCGAACGCUCUGCGCAAGCAGGGAGUGGCGGACGGGUGAGGACACGUGGGUAUCUACCCACAGGUGAGGAAUACCGGCGAGAAAUCGCCGACAAUACCGCAUAGGUUUCUUCGGAAACAAAGCUCGUAAGAGCGCCUGUGGAUGAG
This 200-nucleotide ribosomal RNA is filed under the name uncultured bacterium. RNAcentral describes it as "partial 16S ribosomal RNA". It matches the Rfam family "Bacterial small subunit ribosomal RNA", at positions 8 to 229 of the family's 1533-position model. The record is from RNAcentral.